This 219-nucleotide long non-coding RNA is filed under the name Mus musculus (house mouse). Its description in RNAcentral is "long non-coding RNA chr11:27051696-27051915". The record is from RNAcentral. Lineage: Eukaryota; Metazoa; Chordata; Mammalia; Rodentia; Muridae.
GUAUUGCAGUAUGCUGAGGAUGUGCUGUCUGGGAAAGUGUCUGCUGCCAACACGGUAGGCCACUUCUUGAUAAGCCUUGUCAACCAAGUACCAAAGAUAGUUAUUGAUGACUUUGAGAUCAUGCUCAACAGCCACAUCAAUGACCUGCUGCUGGUGACCUACCUGGUCUAUCUCAUCCAGUCACAGAUUUCUAUCAACAAGAAACUUGUAAACCAAUGA